This 719-nucleotide long non-coding RNA is filed under the name Triticum aestivum (bread wheat). Its description in RNAcentral is "long non-coding RNA (TAES_LNC008960)". The record is from RNAcentral. Lineage: Eukaryota; Viridiplantae; Streptophyta; Magnoliopsida; Poales; Poaceae.
CCAGGGCAGCGAGCUGGCUAGGGUCGGGUAUACAAUACAGCUAGCUAGGUAGAGGAGCGACCGAGAGAAAUGGAACAUGGCAUCAUCUUUGUGAUGCUCCUGGCCAUGGCGGCCACCGUCGGAGCGCGGUCAGGAGCCACGGCGCAGCCAUCCUGCGUGCCCACUGCAGAUGGCGCCCCUCGCAUGCACGGUAAUACUACUACUACUUGCGAACUCUUCGGAACAGCUAGCUAUGUUUCGAUUGUUUCCUUGCUCUUUACUCGAUAUGAACAAAUUUCCGGGUGUUGUGCAGCCGGAGCAGUGCCCCCGUCGCUCGCCGCCAACUCGUCCCCGGCGCUUCAUCGUCUGCAUCGUCCGGCCAGAGGACUACCGACACGCCGAGCUCCGGCGGAUCAUGCCCCGCGGUCACUCGCCCGGCCGCUUCCUCGUCUGCCUCGUCCGGCUAGAGGACUACCGACGACACCAACUCCCGUGGAUCAUGAGCCGUGGUCACCGCCGCCGCCCGCCAUGCAAGGGUGAUUAGUUAUGAAAUUGCAGCCGUGCCUGCUUCUCAGUACGUUGCUGUUGAUCAUCACCUGGUCGCUUUAGUUUUCUGUACUCUGUCGUCCGGUCUAGUUCCAGUUUUUGCCAGCGUGCAAGUUCUAGUCUACAUUUUGCUUAAACAUCACUGUAAUAAGUUCUUUGUAGGCCUUUCAUCUAAAUUCGUGUCUUCUCUUGGA